Molecule: ribosomal RNA, 1363 nt
Filed under: metagenome
Description: bacterial LSU rRNA
Rfam family: Bacterial large subunit ribosomal RNA
Source: RNAcentral
UCGGAGCCGGGUGUUGGUUCCGGUAGCGAUCGAGGGAAAUUAGUACCGAAGUCCGGGAUGGAAGAUGGCGAGAAAAGCUGUGUGUAUUUCUGCGGUGCCCGUACCGCAAACCGACACAGGUAGGUAGGAAGAAGAUUCUAAGGCCAACGGGAGAAGGGUUGUUAAGGAACUCGGCAAAUUGACCCCGUAACUUCGGGAGAAGGGGUGCUGCAGCAAUGCAGCCGCAGAGAAUCGGCCCAAGCAACUGUUUACCAAAAACACAGGUUUGUGCUAAAUCGAAAGAUGACGUAUACGAGCUGACGCCUGCCCGGUGCUGGAAGGUUAAGAGGAGAUGUGCAAGCAUUGAAUCGAAGCCCCAGUGAACGGCGGCCGUAACAAUAACGGUCCUAAGGUAGCGAAAUUCCUUGUCAGGUAAGUUCUGACCCGCAUGAAAGGCGUAAUGAUUUGGGCACUGUCUCAACAGCCCGCCCGGCGAAAUUGUAGUACCGGUGAAGAUGCCGGUUACCCGCGACAAGACGGAAAGACCCCAUGGAGCUUUACUGUAGCCUAAUAUUGGGUUUCGAUGUUGCAUGCACAGGAUAGAUGGGACACUGGGAAGCAGGUGCUUUGGCGCUUGUGGAGUGGCCGUUGGGAUACCAUCCUUGCGAUAUUGGAAUUCUAACCUGCGCCUUUGAAUCAAGGCGGGGGACAUUGUUAGGUGGGCAGUUUGACUGGGGCGGUCGCCUCCUAAAGAGUAACGGAGGCGUUCAAAGGUUCGCUCAGCUUGAACGGAAAUCAAGCAAAAGAGUGCAAACGCAGAAGCGAGCCUAACUGCGAGACUGACGGGUCGAGCAGUAACGAAAGUUGGAGUUAGUGAUCCGGUGGUAUGUGAGUGGAAAUGCCAUCGCUCAACGGAUAAAAGUUACCCUGGGGAUAACAGGCUGAUCUCCCCCAAGAGUCCACAUCGACGGGGAGGUUUGGCACCUCGAUGUCGGCUCAUCGCAUCCUGGGGCUGUAUUCGGUCCCAAGGGUUUGGCUGUUCGCCAAUUAAAGCGGUACGCGAGCUGGGUUCAGAACGUCGUGAGACAGUUCGGUCCCUAUCUGUCGUGGGCGCAGGAUAUUUGAUGGGAGCUGUUCCUAGUACGAGAGGACCGGAGCGGACGUACCUCUGGCGCACCAGUUGUUCUGCCAAGAGCAUAGCUGGGCAACUAUGUACGGAUCGGAUGAACGCUGAAAGCAUCUAAGCGUGAAGCCGACCCAAAGAUAAGAUAUCCCAUUGUUUCAAACAAGUAAGACCCCUUGAAGACUACAAGGUUGAUAGGCACGAUGUGUAAGUGGAGCGAUCCAUUCAGCAAGCGUGUACUAAUAGGUCGAGGGCUUGACC